UACGGAGGGUGCGAGCGUUGUCCGGAAUCACUGGGCGUAAGGGGCGCGUAGGCGGCCUGAUAAGUAGGGGGUGAAAUCCUGCGGCUUAACCGCAGGGCUGCCUUCUAAACUGUCAGGCUAGAGCACAGUAGAGGCAGGUGGAAUUCCCGGUGUAGCGGUGGAAUGCGUAGAGAUCGGGAAGAACAUCAGUGGCGAAGGCGGCCUGCUGGGCUGUUGCUGACGCUGAGGCGCGACAGCGUGGGGAGCAAACAGG
RNAcentral lists this ribosomal RNA (253 nucleotides) under uncultured bacterium. RNAcentral's name for it is "partial 16S ribosomal RNA". It matches the Rfam family "Bacterial small subunit ribosomal RNA", at positions 524 to 776 of the family's 1533-position model. The record is from RNAcentral.